RNAcentral lists this ribosomal RNA (1382 nucleotides) under Pediococcus acidilactici. Its description in RNAcentral is "bacterial SSU rRNA". It matches the Rfam family "Bacterial small subunit ribosomal RNA", at positions 145 to 1507 of the family's 1533-position model. The record is from RNAcentral. Lineage: Bacteria; Bacillati; Bacillota; Bacilli; Lactobacillales; Lactobacillaceae.
ACACCUGGGAAACAGAUGCUUAAUACUCGUAUAACAGAGAAAACCCGCCUGGUUUUUCUUUUUAAAAGAUGGCUCUGCUCAUCACUUCUGGAUGGACCCCGCGGCGCAUUAGCUAGUUGGUGAGGUAACGGCUCACCAAGGCGAUGAUGCGUAGCCGACCUGAGAGGGUAAUCGGCCACAUUGGGACUGAGACACGGCCCAGACUCCUACGGGAGGCAGCAGUAGGGAAUCUUCCACAAUGGACGCAAGUCUGAUGGAGCAACGCCGCGUGAGUGAAGAAGGGUUUCGGCUCGUAAAGCUCUGUUGUUAAAGAAGAACGUGGGUGAGAGUAACUGUUCACCCAGUGACGGUAUUUAACCAGAAAGCCACGGCUAACUACGUGCCAGCAGCCGCGGUAAUACGUAGGUGGCAAGCGUUAUCCGGAUUUAUUGGGCGUAAAGCGAGCGCAGGCGGUCUUUUAAGUCUAAUGUGAAAGCCUUCGGCUCAACCGAAGAAGUGCAUUGGAAACUGGGAGACUUGAGUGCAGAAGAGGACAGUGGAACUCCAUGUGUAGCGGUGAAAUGCGUAGAUAUAUGGAAGAACACCAGUGGCGAAGGCGGCUGUCUGGUCUGUAACUGACGCUGAGGCUCGAAAGCAUGGGUUGCGAACAGGAUUAGAUACCCUGGUAGUCCAUGCCGUAAACUAUUUUUACUAAGUGUUGGAGGGUUUCCGCCCUUCAGUGCUGCAGCUAACGCAUUAAGUAAUCCGCCUGGGGAGUACGACCGCAAGGUUGAAACUCAAAAGAAUUGACGGGGGCCCGCACAAGCGGUGGAGCAUGUGGUUUAAUUCGAAGCUACGCGAAGAACCUUACCAGGUCUUGACAUCUUCUGCCAACCUAAGAGAUUAGGCGUUCCCUUCGGGGACAGAAUGACAGGUGGUGCAUGGUUGUCGUCAGCUCGUGUCGUGAGAUGUUGGGUUAAGUCCCGCAACGAGCGCAACCCUUAUUACUAGUUGCCAGCAUUCAGUUGGGCACUCUAGUGAGACUGCCGGUGACAAACCGGAGGAAGGUGGGGACGACGUCAAAUCAUCAUGCCCCUUAUGACCUGGGCUACACACGUGCUACAAUGGAUGGUACAACGAGUCGCGAAACCGCGAGGUUUAGCUAAUCUCUUAAAACCAUUCUCAGUUCGGACUGUAGGCUGCAACUCGCCUACACGAAGUCGGAAUCGCUAGUAAUCGCGGAUCAGCAUGCCGCGGUGAAUACGUUCCCGGGCCUUGUACACACCGCCCGUCACACCAUGAGAGUUUGUAACACCCAAAGCCGGUGGGGUAACCUUUUAGGAGCUAGCCGUCUAAGGUGGGACAGAUGAUUAGGGUGAAGUCGUAACAAGGUAACCGUAAGG